GGGGAGGGGGGAGCCUGACCGAGCACGCCGCGUGAGUGAUGCGGUCUUCGGAUUGUAAAGCUCUGUUAUAUGGGACGAACGUCUCGGAGGCUAUCCCGGAUGCGGUCCUUACAGAAAGAUAAGCACUAUAUGUCCGUGCCCGCGGCCAUAGUAAUAG
This 157-nucleotide ribosomal RNA is filed under the name uncultured Bacillota bacterium. RNAcentral's name for it is "uncultured Firmicutes bacterium partial 16S ribosomal RNA". Lineage: Bacteria; Bacillati; Bacillota. The record is from RNAcentral.